Phyllostomus discolor (pale spear-nosed bat) is the source of this 807-nucleotide long non-coding RNA. RefSeq lists it as uncharacterized. The transcript has 3 exons. The record is from RefSeq and is a predicted model, not a curated record. Lineage: Eukaryota; Metazoa; Chordata; Mammalia; Chiroptera; Phyllostomidae.
CCCGUCUCUUCUACCCGAAUCCCCCCUCCCCCCCAAGCAGAGAGACCCCAGCAGCAGCAGCAGCUGAUGAUGAAGAGAGAGGCAGUGGCAGAGGGGGGGCACCUUUUAUUUCUAUUUUUAAAGGGACAGGACACUAAUUUUACCCCACUUCAACCUUGAAUUCAGGGGGGUGGGGGGAAGGCGGCUGAGUUCCUUCCCCCACCCUCCAGCCCCGAGACCUGAGAGGGGGAUUGAGCCUGAGAGAGAAGGAGAAGGAGUUUCUUCUUCUUCGAAAACCCUCGUCCACGACUCCUACCCCUUCACCCCUCCAGUAGCCUCCCUCCCGAGCCCCCUCCACCCUCCUCCUCUUAGGCCGUGAGAGGAGAGAAAGAGACCUAAAGCCUCUUAGCAACACAGACCCUUCUUUGCUGCUGCUGCUGUUGCUGUUGCUGCUGCUGCUGCUGUUACUGCUGCUUGGCCCUGGCUGGAGACAUCUCACUACACCCAGGAGCAGCCACUUCCCCACUCUCCUCCUCCUUCCCUCCUCCUCCACUCCCCCCCUUUAUUACCCUUUGUGUCAUCCUCCACAGCUCCAGGGAAGGCACUCCAAAGUGGGGGGCAGGAAAGAUGCUUUUUGAGAAUACCAGUUUCUGCAUAUGGGAAGUAGAUAUUGAAAGUUAUAUGGUUUACAGACAAUAUCUUUAAAAGACAGACACUGAAGGAAAUUAACUACUGCCAUUCAGGUGAAAAUAACUAGAAAACUCACAGAAGGAUGAGCAGUGAGCAUUGAAGGGGUUUAAUUGUAAAACAAGAUGAAAACAAAGGGAA